This 1688-nucleotide ribosomal RNA is filed under the name Salmonella enterica subsp. enterica serovar Paratyphi A. The record is from RNAcentral. Lineage: Bacteria; Pseudomonadati; Pseudomonadota; Gammaproteobacteria; Enterobacterales; Enterobacteriaceae.
GGGGGGACGGAGAAGGCUAUGUUGGCCGGGCGACGGUUGUCCCGGUUUAAGCGUGUAGGUGUGUGUUCCAGGUAAAUCCGGUUCACUUUAACACUGAGGCGUGACGACGAGGCACUACGGUGCUGAAGCAACAAAUGCCCUGCUUCCAGGAAAAGCCUCUAAGCAUCAGGUAACAUCAAAUCGUACCCCAAACCGACACAGGUGGUCAGGUAGAGAAUACCAAGGCGCUUGAGAGAACUCGGGUGAAGGAACUAGGCAAAAUGGUGCCGUAACUUCGGGAGAAGGCACGCUGACACGUAGGUGAAGUGAUUUACUCAUGGAGCUGAAGUCAGUCGAAGAUACCAGCUGGCUGCAACUGUUUAUUAAAAACACAGCACUGUGCAAACACGAAAGUGGACGUAUACGGUGUGACGCCUGCCCGGUGCCGGAAGGUUAAUUGAUGGGGUCAGCGCAAGCGAAGCUCCUGAUCGAAGCCCCGGUAAACGGCGGCCGUAACUAUAACGGUCCUAAGGUAGCGAAAUUCCUUGUCGGGUAAGUUCCGACCUGCACGAAUGGCGUAAUGAUGGCCAGGCUGUCUCCACCCGAGACUCAGUGAAAUUGAACUCGCUGUGAAGAUGCAGUGUACCCGCGGCAAGACGGAAAGACCCCGUGAACCUUUACUAUAGCUUGACACUGAACAUUGAGCCUUGAUGUGUAGGAUAGGUGGGAGGCUUUGAAGUGUGGACGCCAGUCUGCAUGGAGCCGACCUUGAAAUACCACCCUUUAAUGUUUGAUGUUCUAACGUGGACCCGUUACCCGGGUUGCGGACAGUGUCUGGUGGGUAGUUUGACUGGGGCGGUCUCCUCCUAAAGAGUAACGGAGGAGCACGAAGGUUGGCUAAUCCUGGUCGGACAUCAGGAGGUUAGUGCAAUGGCAUAAGCCAGCUUGACUGCGAGCGUGACGGCGCGAGCAGGUGCGAAAGCAGGUCAUAGUGAUCCGGUGGUUCUGAAUGGAAGGGCCAUCGCUCAACGGAUAAAAGGUACUCCGGGGAUAACAGGCUGAUACCGCCCAAGAGUUCAUAUCGACGGCGGUGUUUGGCACCUCGAUGUCGGCUCAUCACAUCCUGGGGCUGAAGUAGGUCCCAAGGGUAUGGCUGUUCGCCAUUUAAAGUGGUACGCGAGCUGGGUUUAGAACGUCGUGAGACAGUUCGGUCCCUAUCUGCCGUGGGCGCUGGAGAACUGAGGGGGGCUGCUCCUAGUACGAGAGGACCGGAGUGGACGCAUCACUGGUGUUCGGGUUGUCAUGCCAAUGGCACUGCCCGGUAGCUAAAUGCGGAAGAGAUAAGUGCUGAAAGCAUCUAAGCACGAAACUUGCCCCGAGAUGAGUUCUCCCUGAGACUUUAGGUCUCCUGAAGGAACGUUGAAGACGACGACGUUGAUAGGCCGGGUGUGUAAGCGCAGCGAUGCGUUGAGCUAACCGGUACUAAUGAACCGUGAGGCUUAACCUUACAACGCCGAAGAUGUUUUGGCGGAUGAGAGACGAUUUUCAGCACUGAUUCNNNNNNNNNNNNNNNNNNNNAGAAUUUGUCUGGCGGCAGUAGCGCGGUGGUCCCACCUGACCCCAUGCCGAACUCAGAAGUGAAACGCCGUAGCGCCGAUGGUAGUGUGGGGUCUCCCCAUGCGAGAGUAGGGAACUGCCAGGCAUCAAAU